Molecule: ribosomal RNA, 253 nt
Filed under: uncultured bacterium
Lineage: Bacteria
Description: partial 16S ribosomal RNA
Rfam family: Bacterial small subunit ribosomal RNA
Source: RNAcentral
AACGUAGGGGACAAGCGUUAUCCGGAUUUACUGGGCGUAAAGCGCCCGUAGGCGGCUAGAUAAGUUGGACGUGAAAGCUCCUGGCUUAACUGGGAGAGGCCGUUCAAAACUGUUUGGCUAGAGUCUGGAAGAGGAGAGCGGAAUUCCCGGUGUAGUGGUGGAAUGCGUAGAGAUCGGGAGGAACACCAGUGGCGAAAGCGGCUCUCUGGUCCAAAACUGACGCUGAGGGGCGAAAGCGUGGGGAGCGAACGGG